RNAcentral lists this ribosomal RNA (348 nucleotides) under uncultured bacterium. RNAcentral describes it as "partial 16S ribosomal RNA". It matches the Rfam family "Bacterial small subunit ribosomal RNA", at positions 338 to 683 of the family's 1533-position model. The record is from RNAcentral.
CCUACGAGUGGCAGCAGUGAGGAAUAUUGGUCAAUGGGCGCGAGCCUGAACCAGCCAAGUAGCGUGAAGGAUGACUGCCCUACGGGUUGUAAACUUCUUUUAUAAAGGAAUAAAGUGAGGCACGUGUGCCUUUUUGUAUGUACUUUAUGAAUAAGGAUCGGCUAACUCCGUGCCAGCAGCCGCGGUAAUACGGAGGAUCCGAGCGUUAUCCGGAUUUAUUGUGUUUAAAGGGAGCGUAGAUGGGUUGUUAAGUCAGUUGUGAAAGUUUGCGGCUCAACCGUAAAAUUGCAAUUGAUCAUGGCAGCCUUGAGUACAGUUGAGGUAGGCGGAAUUCGUGGUGUAGCGGUG